This 77-nucleotide transfer RNA is filed under the name candidate division LCP-89 bacterium B3_LCP. Its description in RNAcentral is "tRNA-Pro". It matches the Rfam family "tRNA". From Rfam's summary of the family: Transfer RNA (tRNA) molecules are approximately 80 nucleotides in length. Their secondary structure includes four short double-helical elements and three loops (D, anti-codon, and T loops). Lineage: Bacteria; Pseudomonadati; candidate division LCP-89. The record is from RNAcentral.
CGGGGCGUAGCGCAGUCCGGUAGCGCACAUGCUUCGGGAGUAUGGAGUCGCUGGUUCAAAUCCAGUCGCCCCGACAA